RNAcentral lists this ribosomal RNA (497 nucleotides) under uncultured bacterium. Its description in RNAcentral is "partial 16S ribosomal RNA". It matches the Rfam family "Bacterial small subunit ribosomal RNA", at positions 28 to 507 of the family's 1533-position model. The record is from RNAcentral.
GAUGAACGCUGGCGGCGUGCCUAAUACAUGCAAGUCGAGCGAACAGACGAGGAGCUUGCUCCUCUGACGUUAGCGGCGGACGGGUGAGUAACACGUGGAUAACCUACCUAUAAGACUGGGAUAACUUCGGGAAACCGGAGCUAAUACCGGAUAAUAUAUUGAACCGCAUGGUUCAAUAGUGAAAGACGGUUUUGCUGUCACUUAUAGAUGGAUCCGCGCCGCAUUAGCUAGUUGGUAAGGUAACGGCUUACCAAGGCAACGAUGCGUAGCCGACCUGAGAGGGUGGUCAGCCACACUGGAACUGAGACACGGUCCAGACUCCUACGGGAGGCAGCAGUAGGGAAUCUUCCGCAAUGGGCGAAAGCCUGACGGAGCAACGCCGCGUGAGGGAUGAAGGUCGUCGGAUCGUAAAACUCUGUUAUUAGGGAAGAACAAAUGUGUAAGUAACUAUGCACGUCUUGACGGUACCUAAGCAGAAAGCCACGGCUAACUACGUG